GAUGAACGCUGGCGGCGUGCCUAAUACAUGCAAGUCGAGCGAACAGACGGGGAUCUUUCUUCGCUGACGUUAGCGGCGGACGGGUGAUUCACACGUGGAUGACCUACCUAGAAGGCUAACGUAACUUCGGGAACCCUGAUCUAAUACCGGAUCAGAUAUUGAACCGCGUGGUUCAUUGGUGCACAACCUUUUUGCUGUCCCUUGUUGGGAGAACCUCGCCGCAUUAGCUAGUUGGUAAGGUAACGGCUUACCAAGGCAACGAUGCGUAGCCGACCUGAGAGGGUGAUCGGCCACACUGGAACUGAGACACGGUCCAGACUCCUACGGGAGGCAGCAGUAGGGAAUAUUCGGCAAUGGGCGAAAGCCUGACGGAGCAACGCCGCGUGUGUGAUGAAGGUCUUCGGAUCGUAAAGCUCUGUUAUUAGGGAAGAACAAAUGUGUAAGUAUAUCUGCAUGUCUUGACGGUACCAACACAGAAAGCAACGGCUAACUACGUG
Molecule: ribosomal RNA, 497 nt
Filed under: uncultured bacterium
Lineage: Bacteria
Description: partial 16S ribosomal RNA
Rfam family: Bacterial small subunit ribosomal RNA
Source: RNAcentral